RNAcentral lists this ribosomal RNA (387 nucleotides) under uncultured bacterium. RNAcentral's name for it is "bacterial SSU rRNA". It matches the Rfam family "Bacterial small subunit ribosomal RNA", at positions 28 to 417 of the family's 1533-position model. The record is from RNAcentral.
GACGAACGCUGGCGGCGUGCUUAACACAUGCAAGUCGAGCGGUAAGGCCCUUUCGGGGGUACACGAGCGGCGAACGGGUGAGUAACACGUGGGUGACCUGCCCUCAGCUCUGGGAUAAGCCUGGGAAACCGGGUCUAAUACCGGAUAUGACUCCAUGACGCAUGUUGUGGGGUGGAAAGCCUUGUGCGGCUGAGGAUGGGCCCGCGGCCUAUCAGCUUGUUGGUGGGGUGAUGGCCUACCAAGGCACGACGGGUAGCCGGCCUGAGAGGGCGACCGGCCACACUGGGACUGAGACACGGCCCAGACUCCUACGGGAGGCAGCAGUGGGGAAUCUUGCGCAAUGGGCGAAAGCCUGACGCAGCGACGCCGCGUGAGGGAUGACGGCCU